GGCCCUGGUGUCACAGGCUCUGUGACACGUUGAUGCUGGCUGAGCGGCGGCGGAAACAGAAGUGGGCUGUGGAUGCAAGAAAUACUAUGUGGAGUGAUGAUGAUUCCGAGUUUGGCCAGAGAAUGCUGGAGAAGAUGGGGAGCCACAGAUCACAUUAAAGUUCAAAUUAAAAAUAACCACCUGGGACUUGGAGCUACAGUCAAUAAUGAAGAAAACGGGAUUGCACAUCAAGAUGAUUUCAACCAGCUUCUGGCUAAACUGAACACUUGCCAUGGGCAAGAAACAGCAGAUACCCCAGACAACAAGGAAAAGAAAUCUUUUGGCCUUGAGGAAAAGUCCAAAAUUUCCAAAAACUGUGUUCAUUAUAUGAAAUUCACAAAAGGAGGAUUCCAGCCCCUCCACUCCAGAUGGGAAUGAAACUUCCACCACAACAACCAGCGCCUUCACCAUCCGGGAGUAUUUCUCCAAGUGCGUGGCAGAGCUGAAUAGCAAGCCCCAGGUCACAGCUCUAGGGCCUGA
Nycticebus coucang (slow loris) is the source of this 519-nucleotide RNA transcript. It is a transcript of the gene named PIN2/TERF1-interacting telomerase inhibitor 1-like, with no coding region annotated. The transcript has 2 exons. NCBI's taxonomy places the organism in Eukaryota, Metazoa, Chordata, Mammalia, Primates, Lorisidae. The record is from RefSeq and is a predicted model, not a curated record.